UACCGAGUUUACAACUCCCAAACCCAAUGUGAACGUUACCAAACUGUUGCCUCGGCGGGAUCUCUGCCCCGGGUGCGUCGCAGCCCCGGACCAAGGCGCCCGCCGGAGGACCAACCAAAACUCUUAUUGUAUACCCCCUCGCGGGUUUUUUUAUAAUCUGAGCCUUCUCGGCGCCUCUCGUAGGCGUUUCGAAAAUGAAUCAAAACUUUCAACAACGGAUCUCUUGGUUCUGGCAUCGAUGAAGAACGCAGCGAAAUGCGAUAAGUAAUGUGAAUUGCAGAAUUCAGUGAAUCAUCGAAUCUUUGAACGCACAUUGCGCCCGCCAGUAUUCUGGCGGGCAUGCCUGUCCGAGCGUCAUUUCAACCCUCGAACCCCUCCGGGGGGUCGGCGUUGGGGAUCGGCCCUCCCUUAGCGGGUGGCCGUCUCCGAAAUACAGUGGCGGUCUCGCCGCAGCCUCUCCUGCGCAGUAGUUUGCACACUCGCAUCGGGAGCGCGGCGCGUCCACAGCCGUUAAACACACCCAACUUCUGAAAUGUUGACCUCGGAUCAGGUAGGAAUACCCGC
Molecule: ribosomal RNA, 564 nt
Filed under: Trichoderma sp. MS382a
Lineage: Eukaryota; Fungi; Ascomycota; Sordariomycetes; Hypocreales; Hypocreaceae
Description: eukaryotic LSU rRNA
Rfam family: 5.8S ribosomal RNA (bases 204-357)
Source: RNAcentral